This 389-nucleotide unclassified non-coding RNA is filed under the name Artemisia dracunculus var. changaica. RNAcentral's name for it is "partial external transcribed spacer". Lineage: Eukaryota; Viridiplantae; Streptophyta; Magnoliopsida; Asterales; Asteraceae. The record is from RNAcentral.
UGUUUGGUUUGUUACGUGUGGUUGGCUGCGGCGUUUGCAACAACUUCCAUGCUUUCAGACCUCUUCAGUUGUGCGGCAAGGCUUGUAUCGCUUUGAGCGUAUUGUGGGUUUUCUGUGUUGGCUACCUAAUCAACGGUAUCGUUUGGAUUGAUCAAAGUUUGAUUUCGUCUUCCGUCGCGUUUGCGGCGUGAGGUGAACCUUGAUGCGGUCUCUUUGAUCCAUCUCGUCGAAGCACAUGCUUUGACGUUGUGGCACAUUGAGCAUUGCUUGGUGUCUUGUAUACGGAACACGUAGUGGGCAUGGAUCUAACGAUUCUUGUUUGCCCUCAUAUUAGCGUAACGCUUCUCUAACACGACUUGCACCACGUUUUAGCUCGUACGGACGUGGUG